CGACCCCAGGUUGGGCGGGAUGACCCGCUGAGUUUAAG
Molecule: ribosomal RNA, 38 nt
Filed under: Ludisia discolor
Lineage: Eukaryota; Viridiplantae; Streptophyta; Magnoliopsida; Asparagales; Orchidaceae
Description: partial 26S ribosomal RNA
Source: RNAcentral